AAUUAAUGAGCUUGUAUAAAGCAUAUAUUUUGAAAAUAUAAGAAAGGAAAACAUCCUAUUAAUUU
RNAcentral lists this transfer RNA (65 nucleotides) under Ciidae sp. GENSP01. RNAcentral describes it as "tRNA-Ser". Lineage: Eukaryota; Metazoa; Arthropoda; Insecta; Coleoptera; Ciidae. The record is from RNAcentral.